Molecule: ribosomal RNA, 253 nt
Filed under: uncultured bacterium
Lineage: Bacteria
Description: partial 16S ribosomal RNA
Rfam family: Bacterial small subunit ribosomal RNA
Source: RNAcentral
UACAGAGGUCCCAAGCGUUGUUCGGAUUCAUUGGGCGUAAAGGGUGCGUAGGCGGCGCGGUAAGUCGGGUGUGAAAUCUCGGGGCUUAACUCCGAAACUGCAUUCGAUACUGCCGUGCUUGAGGACUGGAGAGGAGACUGGAAUUUACGGUGUAGCGGUGAAAUGCGCAGAUAUCAGGAAGAACACCAAUGGCGAAGGCAGCUCUCUGGGACGGUACUGACGCUGAGACGCGAAAGCGUGGGGAGCGAACAGG